AUCUUUAGUUUGUGAAAGGCGGUGAGUUGUGACGACUGCUGUCCUGAGACCAUUGAGUGCAGUCUGGAAUAUUCCAAAUGUGUGCCAGUUCCAUAAGAAAAAAGUUCCAAUCAAGAGUACACUCACCAGUGGGCUCAAUAGUCCAGGACAAAGUCGGUCUGUCCUUCUACUACUACAUGCUACUUGACUUUGUCUGGAAGCCAUGGAUGCUGCCCUCAACAUGCUAAACCCUCACAAAUAAGCUGAUAUCAAGAAUUAACAUUGAUGGUGAUGAUGGAAAGGCCUUCAUAAGGU
Molecule: long non-coding RNA, 294 nt
Organism: Sardina pilchardus (European sardine)
Lineage: Eukaryota; Metazoa; Chordata; Actinopteri; Clupeiformes; Clupeidae
Exons: 4
Source: RefSeq, a predicted model, not a curated record